AUGUUCUGCUUGCUCAUCAACAAUUGCCUAAAUUCUUUGACGUGUACAUUAAAAUCCUUGGUUGCAGAAGUAUUUGAAAACAAAGAAAUGGUAAGGCAUUCACGAGAGAAGUGCCAUUUAGAAACUCCAAGAAAUAAAUACAUGCUCAGGAAAGAACUAUCCCUUCUGGUAUACAUGACCAAGCAAAAACACACGAUAACGGUCAAGGAUUGUAUUAAUUCUCAUCUUGGAGCACGAUUUCAGAUUGUUAGAUUUUUUUUUCUUCCACUCAUGAUGAUACCUUUCUUCUCUUCUUUCAUCUUCUUCUUUGUUUUGCCUAUGCAUAUUACUACUAUUAUUUAA
RNAcentral lists this ribosomal RNA (342 nucleotides) under Triticum aestivum (bread wheat). RNAcentral's name for it is "partial small subunit ribosomal RNA". Lineage: Eukaryota; Viridiplantae; Streptophyta; Magnoliopsida; Poales; Poaceae. The record is from RNAcentral.